This 369-nucleotide ribosomal RNA is filed under the name uncultured bacterium. Its description in RNAcentral is "bacterial SSU rRNA". It matches the Rfam family "Bacterial small subunit ribosomal RNA", at positions 28 to 404 of the family's 1533-position model. The record is from RNAcentral.
GAUUAACGCUGGCGGCGUGCCUAACACAUGCAAGUCGAACGAGGUAGCAAUACCUAGUGGCAGACGGGUGAGUAACGCGUGGUCAACCUACCGUUGAGUGGGGAGUAACUAGCCGAAAGGUUAGUCUAAUACCGCAUACGUCUCCGAGUGGCAUCACUUGGCGAUAAAAGGAAGCAAUCCGCUCGAUGACGGGACCGCGUCCCACUUAGCUAGAUGGUGGGGUAACGGCCUACCANGGCACCGAUGGGUAGCUGGUUUGAGAGAGCGACCAGCCACACUGGGACUGAGAAACGGCCCAGACUCCUACGGGAGGCAGCAGUGAGGAAUUUUCCGCAAUGGGCGCAAGCCUGACGGAGCGACGCCGCGUGU